CAUCAAUAUGUGAGUGGUUAAACAAACUGUGGUACAUAUAUACAUUGGAAUACUACUCACCAAUGAAAAUGCAAUGGAUUAUUUAUAUAUGUAAUAACUUGGAUGGAUUAAGGACAUUAUGCUGAGUGAAAAAAGCCAAUCUCAAAGGUCACAUAGUAUAUGAUUCCAUUUAUGUAACAGUCUCAACAUAAAUUAUGGAAAUGGAAGAGAUUGGUGGUUUCUAGAGAUUAGUGGUCAUGGGGUAAGGGAAAUAGGUCUGACUAUAAAGGAGUAGCAUAGGAGAUCUUUCUUGUGAUGGAAUAGUUCUGUGUUUUUUUUUUCUUCUCUGGUGGCUAUACAGAAAUACAUAUGUGAUAAAAUAUCACAGAGCUGUACAUCAUACCAAUGUCAGUUUCCCGGUUUUAAUGUUGUACUAUAGUUAUGUAGGGUGUAACCAUUGGAGGAAACAAUGAAAAUUACAAAGAACAAUUCUGUAUAUUUGAACCUUCCUGUGACUAUCUAUCUGACUAUUUUAAAAUAUACAGUUAUAAAAAUUUUAAAUACAUAUGUAAAACCAAUGGAGAAAGCCCAAAAGGGAUUGUAAUAAAACCAGAGGAGAUAACUAUUGCCAUAGCCCUAAACAGACAGUUUAUGUCCCUGGAUAAUAUUUAAGAAAAAUGUCAGGCCGGGCGCGGUGGCUCAAGCCUGUAAUCCCAGCACUUUGGGAGGCCGAGGCGGGUGGAUCACGAGGUCAGGAGAUCGAGACCAUCCUGGCUAACAUGGUGAAACCCCGUCUCUACUAAAAAUACAAAAAACUAGCCGGGCGUGGUGGCGGGCGCCUGUAGUCCCAGCUACUCGGAGGCUGCGCCUGUAGUCCCAGCUACUCGGAGGCUGAGGCAGGAGAAUGGCGUAAACCCAGGAGGCGGAGCUUGCAGUGAGCCGAGAUCGCGCCACUGCACUCCAGCCUGGGUGACACAGCGAGACUCCGUCUCAAAAAAAAAAAAAAAAAAAAAAAGAGAUACACUCCUGGUAACCACUGCUUAUAACAGCAGGUAUGUUUCAGCCUUACAUGCUGCUUUGUAUUUCUGUUCCAGGGAGAUUUUUAUCUUGUUAUUGAGUCCAGAGUUUCUGGUUUUCCAUUUUAUUUCUCACCGCUAUAAUUUUAAGCCAAGGGAGCACUAUUUAUUCAAAGUCUUACCUACCAUUUACUGAUAGAAAAUCUUUAUAUAUAUAUAUACACACACACACACAUAUAUAUGUACAUACACACACAAAUACAUACAUACACAUACAUAUAUAUACACAUAUAUACACGUAUAUAUAUAUUGAUAUACACACACACGCUUGUAUGAUUAUUUUCUUAGAAGUUCACUAAAGUGGAAAUCCUAUGUAAAGGACAUGUGUAAAACAAAUUCUUAGCCCUGUUGACAUACAGUAAAUUGUGCUCUUUCCUCCACACGUAUCCUACACAACACUUUUUAAAACCAGCUUUGAUCUCUACCAAAUUAAACAAAAAAUAAUUCUUCUUGUUUGUUAUUGUAUGCUUUUUACUUCACCACAUUUAUUUAAAUACAAUUUACAUAAAUGAGUUGCAGAAUAUUAAGUACAAAGUUCAGUGACUUCUGACAAAU
Long non-coding RNA from Papio anubis (olive baboon), 1610 nucleotides. Lineage: Eukaryota; Metazoa; Chordata; Mammalia; Primates; Cercopithecidae. The record is from Ensembl.